RNAcentral lists this long non-coding RNA (542 nucleotides) under Cairina moschata (Muscovy duck). Its description in RNAcentral is "domestica (muscovy Duck (domestic type)) lncRNA (ENSCMMG00000005891.1)". Lineage: Eukaryota; Metazoa; Chordata; Aves; Anseriformes; Anatidae. The record is from RNAcentral.
UCAGCAUCACGUGUGUUUUCCUCACACAUAAACAAUAUUUUAGGCAGAGUUAUUUGCAGUACUCUGGUGUAGACAAUAAACACACAAAGCUAUUUUGUGAAAACGUGCAGCUCUUAAUUUAAAUCUGACUUUUGCUCUUAAAUCUUCAAAAAGAUGUGGAGAAGGACAGGAAAAAUAUGGAUGCUGCUGAGUUCCAGGCACCUCAAGACCUCAUUCUGCAGAUGGUGCUGAGCAGGGUUUGAUGUUGAGCUGCUGCAUCAUGGUCCUCCAUCCAAAUCCACACUGCAACAUUGGUAUGCCCGCUGCCAGUGGCCCAGAUACCAGAAUCCUGAUUCAAGAAGACAGAAGAUCACUGGCAGAAACAGAAGAAAAUCAGUCUAGAGGAGAAAAAGCUGUCUUGAGAAUAUUCAAUUUUCAUCAUUAAACCAGCUAAAAGGUGACUUUGAAGAAGAAGAUAAACUUUCCACACUGAUGAUGGAUUCUUUUUUCUGCUAUUUUGAUUAAAAAUGAAGCUGAAAAUCUUUUAAAGCUUUAGAGGCAGA